UUGCCUGUCGACCAAUGGUCAGGUCACCUCGCUGAUAUCGAGGAAACGCCAGUUCGAUUCUGGCCGGGCAGA
This 72-nucleotide transfer RNA is filed under the name Aeromicrobium panaciterrae. Its description in RNAcentral is "tRNA-Ile". It matches the Rfam family "tRNA". Rfam says of the family: Transfer RNA (tRNA) molecules are approximately 80 nucleotides in length. The record is from RNAcentral. Lineage: Bacteria; Bacillati; Actinomycetota; Actinomycetes; Propionibacteriales; Nocardioidaceae.